UGGCUGUUGGUGUAACGGUUAGCACGCAUGACUCUGGAUCAUGAAGUGGGGGUUCGAAUCCCUCACGGCCAA
Molecule: transfer RNA, 72 nt
Filed under: Bacteroidaceae bacterium
Lineage: Bacteria; Pseudomonadati; Bacteroidota; Bacteroidia; Bacteroidales; Bacteroidaceae
Description: tRNA-Gln
Rfam family: tRNA
About the family: Transfer RNA (tRNA) molecules are approximately 80 nucleotides in length.
Source: RNAcentral